RNAcentral lists this unclassified non-coding RNA (2436 nucleotides) under uncultured fungus. Its description in RNAcentral is "sequence contains 18S rRNA gene, ITS1, 5.8S rRNA gene, ITS2, 28S rRNA gene". The stretch from base 1227 to 2436 matches the Rfam family "Eukaryotic large subunit ribosomal RNA", at positions 1 to 961 of the family's 3401-position model. The record is from RNAcentral. Lineage: Eukaryota; Fungi.
GGAAGGAUCAUUAAUGGAUUGUUUUGCAGUGAGCAAGUGCUUUCGCGCGCUUAUCACACACAAAACGCAAAUAUCCAAACUUGAUUUGCUUGAACGCAAAUUGCCCGUUAUCAAUUGACAAAUGGGCUGAUCAGUGAGCGACAUGCGAUUCUCCGCUAAUACUCUCGUGUGCAUCGAAUGCUUGUUGUCAACGAGCGCCGCCUAACCUCACACAACUCGUCAUGUUUUAAGCACAGUCGUGGGCAAUCACUGGACUGUGUGGAUGAGACCUGUGUGUAACCUGUGCACUAUGCUCAGUGUUGACUUCGGUUUAGUGUUGUGUGUAAUAAUAAUAACCUAAACCUAAAGCAGGCACACGAGAAGAGUGGAGCGUGAAUGCACUCAUUUGGAAGCUCUCCUUGCACAACUGAACUGGUGCCUAGUCCGCGGUUCCUGCACACUUUGUGUGUUUGGAUGCGGGGUGUCGAUACGAGUGUUCCGUCACUCAUUCGCUGCUAGGCUUAAAUAUCGUAGCCAACUCCACCACCAUAGAGGUGCUGACGAAGCCUCAGGUGCAAGGUUGCCUUAUACUUUGUGCGUGCACUUGUGCGCGUCAAAGAAAAGGUUUGGAAAACUACAUGUGUGCCCUAAAAAGCACGCAUGUAGUCUUUUCAUUACAUAAAACCAACUUUGAGCUAAAAUCAAAAUGAUUUUCAAUAGUGAUGUUGCACUUGUUGCAAUCAUUGCUAAAAAAGACAAUUACAACUGUUAGUGGUGGAUCACUCGGCUCGCUGGUCGAGGAAGAACGCAGCUAGCUGCGUUAAUCGGUGUAAAAUGCAGGACACGCCGAGCACUCGACAUUCGAACGCACAUUGCAGCCUUGGUCAUACCUUGGCUUCGUUUGUCUGAGCGUCGUUAAUAAGCCAAACUCCAUCAAAAGACCAAAUUGUCGUGUCCCGGCCCUCCGUUGGCCGACUCGUCUGGUCAAUUUCAAACACACAAUGCUUGUCAUUUUGAAGCGCCCGUACGCGUAAAAAGCCAACACUUGGUCGAUGCGUGUGUGUCACACACUUAGCCGUGUGCGACACAAUGUAGGGCUUUUGGCAAUACAAGCCAAUAUGCCUGAGCGUUAACCGUUUUAAAGUGUCUUUUUACAUCACAUGCGAACGUGGAUCACGUGGAUAUAUUUGACAUUAUGCGCAAGUGUUUUGACAACCUUUGAUAUGUGUUGUUAACUUGUUAACUUUCGACCUCAGAUCAAGCGAGAUUACCCGCUGAAUUUAAGCAUAUAACUAAGCGGAGGAAAAGAAACCAAACGGGAUUCCCCUAGUAACGGCGAGCGAACAGGGAACAGCCCAGCGCCAAGUCCUGACACUUGACGUGUUCAGGAGAUGCGGCGUUAGUGUUUUGGUGCAUCGUGUGCUGCCUCGUGUCUCAAGUUCCUUUGACAGGGACUCCCAGAGUGGGUGCUAGGCCCAUAGAGACUGCGAAGCUGGCACACGCAAACCAUUACAUUUUAGAGUCAGGUUGCUUGAGAGUGCAGCCUAAAGUAGGUGGUAAACUCCAUCUAAGGCUAAAUAUUACAGCGAGACCGAUAGCAAACAAGUACCGUGAGGGAAAGUUGCAAAGAACUUUGAAGAGAGAGUUCAAAAGGACGUGAAACCACUAACAGGUAAACGGGUGGAACCACGAAGUGUGCCUGGAGGGCGAUUCAGUUAUCAUCGCAGGUUGGCUGCGCUCACAUCGGGUACUUUCGUGCUGUGUGAGCGUGGUCUACAAUCGGUGAUGGUAAUGCAUUUCGUCCCUUCAGUGCUAAAGCCACGUCCGAUUAGGUGGCUGGAACGGCCGUAGUGUGUGUCUCUCGGAAGGUGGCCGUCAGGUGCUUGCGCUUGGCGGUGUUAUAGCCUUGAGGCCGUGCCGUUGCCUAGCGUGCUGAUCGGUGCAAGUUCUCCUUCUCUGGAGUAUUGCUAGUAAUGGGUCGGUGCGCUUGUGGUGCCAAUGCGGUCGCGUUAGUUUGUUCUUUCGUUUCUUCGGGAAUGUAAAGACUGGUUAGCGUCGGCUGUAUCGGUGCUGUUUGCGUGGCUGGCUUGUGCAAACGGUGGUGCGAGUAGGUCGGUCUCCACCCGACCCGUCUUGAAACACGGACCAAGGAGCCUACCAUGUACGCGAGUCGCUCGGUCUUGAAUAGGCCUGGGAGGCGCAAUGAAAGUAAUUCUACGAGGCUGUGCGCAUUCGUGCUAUCGGUCGCAGUAGUGGCCCGCUUCCUUCCUUUAUCGGGGAUAUGGCGGAGCUGGAGCGUAUACGGUGGUACCCGAAAGAUGGUGAACUAUGCCUGGGCAAGACGAAGCCAGAGGAAACUCUGGUGGAGGUCUGUAGCGAUUCUGACGUGCAAAUCGAUCGUCAGACCUGGGUAUAGGGGCGAAAGACUAAUCGAACCAUCUAGUAGCUGGUUCCCUC